AUUGAACGCUGGCGGCAGGCCUAACACAUGCAAGUCGAGCGGCAGCGGGAAGUAGCUUGCUUCUUUGCCGGCGAGCGGCGGACGGGUGAGUAAUGUCUGGGAAACUGCCUGAUGGAGGGGGAUAACUACUGGAAACGGUAGCUAAUACCGCAUAAUGUCGCAAGACCAAAGAGGGGGACCUUCGGGCCUCUUGCCAUCAGAUGUGCCCAGAUGGGAUUAGCUAGUAGGUGGGGUAACGGCUCACCUAGGCGACGAUCCCUAGCCGGUCUGAGAGGAUGACCAGCCAAACUGGAACUGAGACACGGUCCAGACUCCUACGGGAGGCAGCAGUGGGGAAUAUUGCACAAUGGGCGCAAGCCUGAUGCAGCCAUGCCGCGUGUAUGAAGAAGGCCUUCGGGUUGUAAAGUACUUUCAGCGGGGAGGAAGGUGUUGAGGUUAAUAACCUCAGCAAUUGACGUUACCCGCAGAAGAAGCACCGGCUAACUCCGUGCCAGCAGCCGCUGUAA
RNAcentral lists this ribosomal RNA (506 nucleotides) under uncultured bacterium. Its description in RNAcentral is "partial 16S ribosomal RNA". It matches the Rfam family "Bacterial small subunit ribosomal RNA", at positions 30 to 523 of the family's 1533-position model. The record is from RNAcentral.